CCUACGGGAGGCUGCCGUGAGGAAUAUUGGUCAAUGGGCGCGAGCCUGAACCAGCCAAGUCGCGUGAGGGAAGACGGUCCUAUGGAUUGUAAACCUCUUUUGUCGGGGAGCAAAAGACGCCACGCGUGGCGUUCCGAGAGUACCCGAAGAAAAAGCAUCGGAUAACUCCGUGCCAGCAGCCGCGGUAAUACGGAGGAUGCGAGCGUUAUCCGGAUUUAGUGGGUGUAAAGGGUGAGCAGGCGGAAGAUCAAGUCAGCGGUAAAAUUGAGGGGCUCAACCUCUUCGAGCCGUUGAAACUGGUUUUCUUGAGUGAGCGAGAAGUAUGCGGAACGCGUGGUGUAGCGGUGAAAUGCAUAGAUAUCACGCAGAACUCCGAUUGCGAAGGCAGCAUACCGGCGCUCAACUGACGCUCAUGCACGAAAGUGUGGGUAUCGAACAGGAUUAGAUACCCCAGUAGUC
RNAcentral lists this ribosomal RNA (459 nucleotides) under uncultured bacterium. RNAcentral describes it as "partial 16S ribosomal RNA". It matches the Rfam family "Bacterial small subunit ribosomal RNA", at positions 338 to 795 of the family's 1533-position model. The record is from RNAcentral.